Molecule: ribosomal RNA, 2804 nt
Filed under: Ethelia suluensis
Lineage: Eukaryota; Rhodophyta; Florideophyceae; Gigartinales; Etheliaceae
Description: eukaryotic LSU rRNA
Rfam family: Eukaryotic large subunit ribosomal RNA
Source: RNAcentral
CGGAGGAAAAGAAACUAACGAGGAUUCCCCUAGUAGCGGCGAGCGAAGCGGGAGAAGCCCAAUAUGAAAAGCCUGCUUGCAGGCGUUGUAUUUUGAGCGUUCUUUGGGGCGUCAGUGUGGGUAAGUCGUAUGGAAAUACGUGCCGUGGAGGGUGACAGCCCCGUCCAGCCCGCACACGACGCGCCGUAACGAGAACGUUUCAGACGAGUCGGGUAGCUUGGGAAUGCUGCUCUAAUUGGUGGUAAAUCUCAUCAAAGGCUAAAUAAAGACCGGAGACCGAUAGCGAACAAGUACCGUGAGGGAAAGAUGACAAGCACUUUGAAAAGAGGGUGAAAAGAACCUGAAACCGUCACGGGGGAAGCGGAUUGCGUUGGAUUGGUUGGGUCCUCUGCGUGGUCAGCCUUUUUAUUGCAAAAAGGUGCAUUGGCGCGAGGACUUACCCGCCGUGAGCUUUUGGCGGCCGAUAUUGGGCUGCCGGGGGCUGAGGGCUCCCCUUUAUGGGUUGAGGACGGCGGGGCGACGACGCGAUACGACCCGUCUUGAAACACGGACCAAGGAGUCUAGCGCGGGUGCGAGUCAAAGGGUUGUACAAGCCCGUGGGCGUAGUGAAAGCGAUGUUUUUUAAAUUGAAACUAAAAACGGAGCAGUUUGAGGCGGCAUAAAAUCGUCGAUUUUAAGACCGACCUAGAGCAGUUGCGCUGGGACCCGAAAGAUGGUGAACUAUGCCGGAGUAGGGCGAAGCCAGAGGAAACUCUGGUGGAGGCUCGUAGCGGUGCUGACGUGCAAAUCGCUCGUCAAACUCGGGUAUAGGGGCGAAAGACUAAUCGAACCAUCUAGUAGCUGGUUCCCUCCGAAGUUUCUCUCAGGAUAGCGGGCCGACCGGUGUUGUUUUGUGCGGUAAAGCGAAUGAUUAGCGCAUGCGGGGGCAUCUAGCCUUUGGGCGAUUCUCAAACUUUAAAUGCGCAAGGGUGCCGCUGCUUAGUUGAGCGGUACCGGCAAAAACGUCGGCCCUGUGGGCCACUUUUGGUAAGCAGAACUGGCGAUACGGGAUGAACCGUAAGUGUGGUUAAGGCGCCAAACUGCCCGCUUAUAGACCCCAAAAAAGGUGUUGAUUCAUCGAGACAGCAGGACGGUGGCCAUGGAAGUCGGAAUCCGCCAAGGAGUGUGUAACAACUCACCUGCCGAAUGAAUUAGCCCUGAAAAUGGAUGGCGCUCAAGCGGGCGGCCGACACCACGCCGUCUGAGCAAUUUUUAUCAUUUUUUAUCUCAGAUGAGUAGGAGGGCGUGGCGGUUGUGUCGAAGCUUGCGUGCAGACGCCAGUGGAACGGCCGCUAGUGCAGAUCUUGGUGGUAGUAGCAAGUAUUCAAGCGAGAUCCUUGAAGGGCGAAGCGGGGAAGGGUUCCACGCGAACACUGAUUGGGCGUGGGUGAGUCGUUCCUAAGCCGAGUGGCAAUUCCUAAUUACCGGCGAAAGGGAAGCGGGUUGACAUUCCCGCACACGGAUGUGGAGGCGGUGACGCUUAUUGCGGCGAAUACGCCGGCGACGGCGCUGGGCAGAGUUCUCUUUUCUGUUUGACCUAGCAAAAUUUACCGCGCCGUGUGGAAUCCGAUUGUCGGGAGAAACACGCGCGUCGGGGCACAGCGCCGGGCCUUUUCCGGCGUCCAGCUCGCCGUCGACGGCCCUUGAAAAUUUGCCUGCUGGGACGUUUUUAAAACAAACGAAAUUUAUUAUCCACGCCGUGGCGUACCGAUCACCGCAUCAGGUCCCCAAGGUGAACAGCCUCUGCUCCAUAUGAACAAUGCAGGUAAGGGAAGUCGGCAAAUUAGACCCGUAACUUUGGAAUAAGGGUUGGCUCUAGUGCUGCGUGGGAGUGGUUGCUGAGUGUCUCGGAUUUGUGGAGCCACGCUGCCUUGGGCGCGGGGCCCUCCUCCUGUGAACGCCCCGCAAGGGACGCCGCGGGCGGUAGGGACCUGUUCCUGCUGCCAAGCCCCCAAUUCCGCAUUCGGCGACGCCCACAGCAUGCAGCAGACUAGAACUGCAACGGGCAAAGGGAAUCCGACUGUUUAAUUAAAACAAAGCAUUGCGAGGGCCGUGGCCGGUGAUCACGCAAUGUGAUUUCUGCUCAGUGCUCUGAAUGUCAAAGUGAAGAGAUUCAAUCAAGCGCGGGUAAACAGCGGGAGUAACUAUGACUCUCUUAAGGUAGCCAAAUGCCUCGUCAUCUAAUUAGUGACGCGCAUGAAUGGAUUAACGAGAUUCCUACUGUCCCUAUCUGCUUCUAGCGAAACCACAGCCGGGGGAACGGGCUCGGCAGAAUCGGCGGGGAAAGAAGACCCUGUUGAGCUUGACUCUAUUCUAAUUUUGUCAAGCAAGUUGGGAGGUGUAGCAUAGGUGGGAGCGCCUUUAACCGCGCGUCCGUGAAAUACCACUACUCCCAGUCUUGCUUUACUUACUGGGUUUCUGUGGAUCAGCCUUACCGCUCUAUUCUGGAACCAACACUAAAAAACUUUUUCAGUGGACCACAGCCCAGUACACAUUUAGGAGGGGAGUUUGGCUGGGGCGGCACAUCUUCUACAAGACAACGAAGGUGUCCAAAGAUAAGCUCAGUGAGAACAGAAAUCUCACGUCGCGCAAAAGGGUAAAAGCUUGUUUGAUUUCGAUUUUCAGUGCCAGUCGAAAACGCGAAAGCGUGGCCUAUCGAUCCUUUCACCAUUCUAGAUUUGAAGCGAGAGGUGUCAGAAAAGUUACCACAGGGAUAACUGGCUUGUGGCGGCCAAGCGUUCAUAGCGACGUCGCUUUUUGAUCCU